GGAGAGUUGUCCGAGAGGCUGAAGGAGCACGAUUGGAAAUCGUGUAGGCGGGAGACCGUCUCAAGGGUUCGAAUCCCUUACUCUCCG
Globicatella sp. HMSC072A10 is the source of this 87-nucleotide non-coding RNA. Lineage: Bacteria; Bacillati; Bacillota; Bacilli; Lactobacillales; Aerococcaceae. The record is from Rfam.